GGCACUUCUCCGGUGGCCUAAGUGGUUAGAGCGUCAACCUCUGAUGCUGGAGACCAUGGGUUCGAAACCAGGCUGAGUCA
Molecule: non-coding RNA, 80 nt
Organism: Potamilus streckersoni
Lineage: Eukaryota; Metazoa; Mollusca; Bivalvia; Unionida; Unionidae
Source: the annotation of a GenBank genome assembly